UUGGAUGAACAAUAUUUGUCUACUUGCAAGCUUCAUUAUGAGGUGGAUAUACUUCUGCUUGUUUUGGAUGUGGAAUGCACACGAUCACAUCAAAUUAAUUCGAUACAAAGUGUUCGGAAAAAAAUUAUUUAAUCGCAUUUCAAUAUGAAGCGGACAUAGGUACAUGAUCAACAUGCUCAGCCAUUGGACGUGUUUUGCAAUUGGCGAUUACAUAUGGCUACGGAAUCGUAAACGUUUGGUAUUUAUAUGAUAUAAUUUCGCAUAAAUAUGUUCCAGUUGAUACAGAAUUCGUUAUUUUCAUCGAAACCCUUGUUAUGAUGAAUUGCUUAUUGAUUAGAGUUGUUAAUAUUGUUGCAAUGAUUCAUAUGCACACGAUAGUUCAUACCACCAUUCUGAUGGCUUUCGUCUAUGUGAUAUCACCGGUCCUUUGUCCUACACACGAAGGAUCAAGGAUAUAAUAUUGAAAAUGUAUGUCAAAUCAAUCAGGCUCGAUUUAUCUUCCUUUGGAUGUGCUGUAUAAUCAACAGGGCGACGGUGGUUUUCGGACAUUGAAAUCUUUUCUGCAAAACAUAAAAAUCGAAGUCAA
Long non-coding RNA from Bradysia coprophila, 586 nucleotides. The record is from RefSeq and is a predicted model, not a curated record. NCBI's taxonomy places the organism in Eukaryota, Metazoa, Arthropoda, Insecta, Diptera, Sciaridae.